RNAcentral lists this ribosomal RNA (571 nucleotides) under uncultured Planctomycetota bacterium. RNAcentral's name for it is "bacterial SSU rRNA". It matches the Rfam family "Bacterial small subunit ribosomal RNA", at positions 347 to 928 of the family's 1533-position model. Lineage: Bacteria; Pseudomonadati; Planctomycetota. The record is from RNAcentral.
GGCUGCAGUCGAGGAUCUUCGGCAAUGGGCGCAAGCCUGACCGAGCGACGCCGCGUGAGCGAUGAAGGCCAUUAGGUUGUAAAGCUCUGUCGAGGGGGAACAAGCCGCAAGGUUGAGUGAUCCCUGGAGGAAGCACGGGCUAAGUUCGUGCCAGCAGCCGCGGUAAGACGAACCGUGCGAACGUUGUUCGGAAUCAUUGGGCUUAAAGGGCGCGUAGGCGGGUUGACAAGUCCGGGGUGAAAGCCUCCAGCUCAACUGGAGAAGAGCCCCGGAUACUGUCAGUCUGGAGAGGGAUAGGGGCACAUGGAACUUCCGGUGGAGCGGUGAAAUGCGUAGAGAUCGGAAGGAACGCCGGUGGCGAAAGCGAUGUGCUGGAUCUUUUCUGACGCUGAGGCGCGAAAGCUAGGGGAGCAAACGGGAUUAGAUACCCCGGUAGUCCUAGCCCUAAACGAUGGGUACUGGGUUGCGGGUCAGACAUAGACUCGCAGCCGGAGCAAAAGUGUUAAGUACCCCGCCUGGGGAGUAUGGUCGCAAGGCUGAAACUCAAAGGAAUUGACGGGGGCUCACACAA